AAUUGUUGAAAAUAGAAUGGCUUAGUUUCAAUACCAAGAGGGGGGUGAAUUGGUGAAACACAAAAUCAAAGUCUUUUAAAAAUCCUUUUCAUAAAAGGAUGAUCUUUCAAAAGUUUCUUGAAACGCACGGAAUCAGAUUUUUUCAAAUGCAGCAGAAUAUAGUUGACUACAUGAAAAGUAAAGUCGACUUUGAAAAUAAAAAUGCAGGGAUAAAGAAUUCAAACGCAGGUUUUUAUGCUGGUUCGGCUAAACCGCCUACAUCCAGUGAUGGAAGCAUCUCCAUGAUACACAAAAGAAUGCUCCAAGUCGCAGAGAAGUGGCAGCGGAGUGAUGUAGAAGAUGGAGUCCGAAUUGCACUAAAGGUGUUUGUGAAAAUGUCUGGUGAUGUUGGAUGGAUGUUUAUGGUAGAAUUAUAGCUCAGGCAGCCUUCCAAAGGGGAAAGGAGCUAUAGGAGGUGCCAGAUAACAAGGCACAAGGUUGAACUUGAGAGGAUAGCUGAGAAUUCAACAACAUUUCAUUACUCCAAAUCAAGUUACAUCUACAAGUGAUGAAGCUCUCUAUUUAUAGGAGAAGGAGAGCUCUCAAGUGUGUAGUAGAAGCUAUCCUAAUGGAAACGUGAUAGAAAUUAAAGGCAGCUUACAGAGGAAGCUUGUCCAGUUGGCUAGGUGCUCCAUCUGAAUUACGUGCUCAAGGAAGAAGACACUUCUCGUCACCGCUGGGCGGUGGGAAUCAUG
Molecule: long non-coding RNA, 734 nt
Filed under: Vigna radiata
Lineage: Eukaryota; Viridiplantae; Streptophyta; Magnoliopsida; Fabales; Fabaceae
Description: long non-coding RNA (VRAD_LNC008329)
Source: RNAcentral